RNAcentral lists this ribosomal RNA (327 nucleotides) under Triticum aestivum (bread wheat). RNAcentral's name for it is "partial small subunit ribosomal RNA". The record is from RNAcentral. Lineage: Eukaryota; Viridiplantae; Streptophyta; Magnoliopsida; Poales; Poaceae.
AUGGAUGUGACCUUUUUUCUAGGCUGGUUCUCACAAGGUGUCAAAGAUCUUCAUAUUCAAGCCAUGGCUUUGCGUGUGAGGUGGGAAUGGUUGCACAGAUCCGACCAACUUAGACCUUGGCAGGGGCUGCCACCGCUCAAUGAUGACAAGGCGAGACAAGUGUCCGACGGCCUGGUCCACAUCUGCCUUGGAGAUGUGAGAUUAGUGCUCUUCUGGAGAGAUCGAUGGAUCAAUGGCAUGAGCAUCGCAGAUUUUGCUCCUCUUGUGUUGGAGAAGUUUUACAAGAAUGCUGAUAUGAUAUCAUAUUUUGCUAAACAGGGAAAUUAA